RNAcentral lists this ribosomal RNA (274 nucleotides) under uncultured bacterium. RNAcentral describes it as "partial 16S ribosomal RNA". It matches the Rfam family "Bacterial small subunit ribosomal RNA", at positions 523 to 796 of the family's 1533-position model. The record is from RNAcentral.
AUACGAAGGGGGCUAGCGUUGUUCGGAAUUACUGGGCGUAAAGCGCACGUAGGCGGACUGGAAAGUUGGGGGUGAAAUCCCGGGGCUCAACCCCGGAACUGCCUCCAAAACUUCCAAUCUAGAGAUCGAGAGAGGUGAGUGGAAUUCCAAGUGUAGAGGUGAAAUUCGUAGAUAUUUGGAGGAACACCAGUGGCGAAGGCGGCUCACUGGCUCGAUACUGACGCUGAGGUACGAAAGCGUGGGGAGCAAACAGGAUUAGAAACCCUAGUAGUCC